Molecule: transfer RNA, 74 nt
Filed under: Candidatus Nomurabacteria bacterium RIFCSPLOWO2_12_FULL_46_14
Lineage: Bacteria; Candidatus Nomuraibacteriota
Also listed under: 3 other names
Description: tRNA-Met
Rfam family: tRNA
About the family: Transfer RNA (tRNA) molecules are approximately 80 nucleotides in length. Their secondary structure includes four short double-helical elements and three loops (D, anti-codon, and T loops).
Source: RNAcentral
GUCGGCAUAGCUCAGGUAGUUAGAGCGGCACACUCAUAAAGUGCAGGUCCCAGGUGCAACUCCUGGUGCCGACA